AUCCAGCCGAUGAAUUCCAAAUGGGGCGAAACGCGUGUUCUGGAU
Molecule: non-coding RNA, 45 nt
Filed under: Schistosoma curassoni
Lineage: Eukaryota; Metazoa; Platyhelminthes; Trematoda; Strigeidida; Schistosomatidae
Source: RNAcentral